UGUAUCCAAGGGGCUGGGUGGAAUCCUGCGGCUGUCCACCGUGGAAGCUGGUCAGCCUCCACCUUCUACCUGUUGAGUCUGGCAGAAUGCUGAGAUGUAUAAACUGUCUUCACAGCAAUUCCAUGAGGCAGCCUCAAAGAUGGAGAGCACAAUAAAGCACAAACAGACAACACUUCAUAACCCAGUGGCGGCCCUGGACCCAGGAGGUUUGUGCAGUCAUGGACAGCUACACAGGUGCCUGCCAUGGACGGAAGGGAAGGCUGCACCAACAGGUCUGCCGUGGACGGAAGGAAAGGCUGCCGCGCGGACUCCUGCCGUGGACGGAAGGGAAGGCUGCACAGAGGUCUGCCGUGGACGGAAGGGAAGGCUGCCGCGCGGACUCCUGCCGUGGACGGAAGGGAAGGCUGCCGCGCGGACUCCUGCCGUGGACGGAAGGGAAGGCUGCCGCGCGGACUCCUGCCGUGGACGGAAGGGAAGGCUGCCGCGCGGACUCCUGCCGUGGACGGAAGGGAAGGCUGCACGGACUCCUGCUGUGGAUGGAAAGGAGGUUGCACAGAGGUCUACUGUGGACGGAAGGGAAGGCUGCACAGAGCCUUAUCACUAAUGGGAAAGAAAGGCUGCACGGAGGCUUGCUUGGAUAGAAGGGAAGGGUGCAGAUUGUCUUGGACAUGAAGGGAAGGCUGCACACAGAAUUCUCAUGGAUGGAAGGAAAGCUGCACAGAGGAAUGUUUAUGAUGAGAAGGGAAGAAUGCAGAGCCUUGCCAUAGAUGGGAA
RNAcentral lists this small RNA (774 nucleotides) under Pongo abelii (Sumatran orangutan). RNAcentral's name for it is "processed transcript". Lineage: Eukaryota; Metazoa; Chordata; Mammalia; Primates; Hominidae. The record is from RNAcentral.